UCCUCUUCAAACAUGUCGAUCCAACUGGCCCAAAGUUCCCCCCUCUUGAACCCUUAAUUCAGUACACGUGGUCAACAUUAACCACGUGCAAAAUUCUUCGCGCAAGCGGCCGCGCAGCUUCGCUUGGCGAAACUACAUGGUUGAUUUAACCAUGUAGUUGUCCACGUCUCUUGAUUUAAAAGAGUUGAAAUUUUUUUCCCGACAAUGAGAACUCGCCGUCCCAACGUUAGCGUGGAGAGCAGUGCCGGAAGCGGGGAAGCCCGCAUUCUCCUCCCAAUGCGAACGUUGUGAUGCCGCUCGCUUCACCACUGCUUCAACUGCGCCGUGUAUGCAAAACUCGGAUCACACGACCGCGGUAUUCGUUUUCUUUUUCUUCUAUUCUUCCCGAAACUUGCAGGGAUGUGCACGGCGAUGCCAAAACUACGACGCUCAAAUCACGUGACCUAAUUUUUUUUUUUUUAAUUUCUCCAAUGUUCUUGGCACGCGCAGGGCUGUGCACGGCACGGGCGCCCCUCGCGCUAUCGACGCGUGCACUGUCAGCCAGCAUUCCGUUUUCGUCGGUGGCUGCGAGACGACGCAGUCGGGUGCAUCCAGUGUUCGCAGUAUUCAACUGGAACGUAGUGGUCCCGUGCCCCGCCCGGCCGGUCCACCGUGGACACCGAUAUGGAGAACGCAGCGGGAGGCCGACGGCCAGACGUAGGGCGUAGCUGCAGAGUGACGUCCACAACACGCGAGUACGUGCGCGGCCAUGUGGAAGGAACGACACCGAGUGCCCUCAAUCGAGGUGCCGGGCUCCCUGCUUCCAGCCGUCGCAGUCGCCGCACCUACGAGAUGAGCUGGUGCUCAAGGGUUCCUGCUGCUGCCUCCCUAGCACGGCAGACGCUGCUACGCAGGUUACUGCAGGCUCUAGAGCGGCGGACCGCCGCUGCUGCUAAUCGACGCCAACGACAGCCGCGCGCGAGUUCAUCGGAAUCACAAAGUUCACGAGAGUCUGGCCAAGGUUCGGAGCACGAGACCCGAGGUUCGGCGCCACGUGCGGCGCCCGCGAGCAGCCAUUUGUAUUCCGAGGAUUUUCGGGUCACUCGACAUGGCACUCGUCGCCAAAGGCUGCGCACAAGCUUCAGUUGGUCACGCGAGGUACAUGUCCCAGCGAGGACGUGCCCGCGAGGGCCCUCGACGUCUGUCAGCCAGCCCUAACUAUACAGCGGGAGGUGGCGUCCUACACCACGGGGGCUCGUCCUGUUUCGGCUUCUGCGACGCAUGUGCAAAAGCAUGCUUGUGACUCGAGGCGUGUGGUAUUUCACCUUUCCGUGCUGCUUCGUUGUCAACGGUGGGAGCAGCCGGAGCGCUGGGCAACCGCAGCCCUGACACCAGCUGUAAAGUAAAGGCCUUUGUACAAAGUU
RNAcentral lists this long non-coding RNA (1403 nucleotides) under Dermacentor andersoni. Its description in RNAcentral is "uncharacterized LOC126533437". Lineage: Eukaryota; Metazoa; Arthropoda; Arachnida; Ixodida; Ixodidae. The record is from RNAcentral.